Molecule: long non-coding RNA, 267 nt
Filed under: Linum usitatissimum (flax)
Lineage: Eukaryota; Viridiplantae; Streptophyta; Magnoliopsida; Malpighiales; Linaceae
Description: long non-coding RNA (LUSI_LNC001468)
Source: RNAcentral
CACCACCUCCUCAUCGCCGGCGGCGACGACGUCGAAGCUUUCCUCUCCGAUUUCUUCAGGCUUCAGUCGCCAUCAGCAGCGAUCUCUCAGCUCCUCUGCCGCCGUCCGAUCCCUCUCGCGGUGGAGCCACGGUUUUAGCUGGCUGUCUCACGUCAGUGUACGGGCGCACACUAGAGCUGUGUCAAUCCCGGUGAUCGAGCAGUUUCAGAGGAAGCUCGCCACUAUGGGUACAAUUUUGUUACUUUUUUUACUGCAAUCUCAUUUCCA